This 226-nucleotide long non-coding RNA is filed under the name Trifolium pratense (red clover). RNAcentral describes it as "long non-coding RNA (TPRA_LNC010827)". Lineage: Eukaryota; Viridiplantae; Streptophyta; Magnoliopsida; Fabales; Fabaceae. The record is from RNAcentral.
UUGGCUCAGAAGAGGAUUAAGGUGGAGCAAGCUGAUGCUGAACAGAGAACCAAGAAGAAACAUGAGGAAGUUGCAAACAAGGCUGCUGAGGAAUCUUCCAAAGAGCCUAUUGUUGUUGAGGUAGACAGUUCAUCUGAAGAAUCUGAGUCUGAAGAUGAAACUGAAUCAGAUGAAGAGACUAUUGCUGCCAAACUUCGUAGAAGACAAGUUCCUGUUUCUAAAGGUA